Molecule: long non-coding RNA, 525 nt
Organism: Rhipicephalus sanguineus (brown dog tick)
Lineage: Eukaryota; Metazoa; Arthropoda; Arachnida; Ixodida; Ixodidae
Exons: 4
Source: RefSeq, a predicted model, not a curated record
CAGGCACACAAAAAAUGAAACAGGAUCAGGCAGCAUCAAGAAGUGCUGUUUAUGAGGAAAUUUUGAGCAAGCAUGCCUCUCGUGCCCUUGAAAAAAAUAAAGCCGCCCGAGCUUUGCAAACACCCUCAAACAGGCGUGUGGAGUUCAAUGAAGACACCACAAACAAAGAACGCAAACACAAGCAAAUGAGGAAAGAGACUUGACAGGAAGCUUAUGAGAGUGUACUGAAAGAGCGCAAUGAACUGCGACAAGCGGUUGCCAAAAUCAAUGAAAGAAUUGAUCGAAUAGACGUGAAGCUUUCAAUGAUUGUAGAAAUGCUACAGGCGAGAAGUGCCCCUCAGCCUGAAAAGGCACAAAAAAGUGCCCCGCUUCUCGAGCAAGCACAACAGUCCCCUACAGAUCUGUGGGAGGAUGGCCAAGACCUUAAUGGUUUGGAUUACGAAGUUGAACCGUCACACACAGCCCCCACACCACCACCAGCAGCACACAUGGACACUACAUCCAAGCCUGCUGCAGACGAACUCC